This 1181-nucleotide ribosomal RNA is filed under the name Staphylococcus aureus. RNAcentral's name for it is "bacterial SSU rRNA". It matches the Rfam family "Bacterial small subunit ribosomal RNA", at positions 64 to 1174 of the family's 1533-position model. Lineage: Bacteria; Bacillati; Bacillota; Bacilli; Caryophanales; Staphylococcaceae. The record is from RNAcentral.
AUACCCUGGGCUCGAGUUUAAUCCGGGCUCGUACGUCAUAACAAGGUAGCCGUAAAGAUUAUCCAGGGGGCCAGUUUACUCCUGACAGGGAAACCUUAAGGAGAAAGCCGAUCUUUACCUAUACUUGUUUAGAACCGCGGGUUCUUAAGUAAAAGAUGGUUUUGCUAUCACUUAUAGAUGGACCCGCGCCGUAUUAGCUAGUUGGUAAGGUAACGGCUUACCAAGGCAACGAUACGUAGCCGACCUGAGAGGGUGAUCGGCCACACUGGAACUGAGACACGGUCCAGACUCCUACGGGAGGCAGCAGUAGGGAAUCUUCCGCAAUGGGCGAAAGCCUGACGGAGCAACGCCGCGUGAGUGAUGAAGGUCUUCGGAUCGUAAAACUCUGUUAUUAGGGAAGAACAAAUGUGUAAGUAACUGUGCACAUCUUGACGGUACCUAAUCAGAAAGCCACGGCUAACUACGUGCCAGCAGCCGCGGUAAUACGUAGGUGGCAAGCGUUAUCCGGAAUUAUUGGGCGUAAAGCGCGCGUAGGCGGUUUCUUAAGUCUGAUGUGAAAGCCCACGGCUCAACCGGGGAGGGUCAUUGGAAACUGGGAAACUUGAGUACAGAAGAAGAAAGUGGAAUUCCAUGUGUAGCGGUGAAAUGCGCAGAGAUAUGGAGGAACCCCAGUGGCGAAGGCGACUUUCUGGUCUGUAACUGACGCUUAUGUGCGAAAGCGUGGGGAUCAAACAGGAUUAGAUACCCUGGUAGUCCCCGCCGUAAACGAUGAGUGCUAAGUGUGUAAGGGGGUUUCCGCCCCUUAGUGCUGCACCUAACGCAUUAAGCACUCCGCCCUGGGGAGUACGAGCGCAAGUUGAAACUCAAAGGAUUUGACGGGGACCCGCCACAAGCGGUGGAGCCUGUGUUUUAUUCGAGCACGCGGAGACUUACAAGUCUGGACUCCUUGAAACUCUAGAGAUGAGCUUCCUCGGGACAAGUGACAGGGUGCAUGUUGUCUCAGCUCGUCGUGGAGUGUGUGAGUCCGCACGAGGCCACCUUACUAUUGCCGCUUUAUUGGCAUCUAGUGAUGCGGGUCACACCUGAAGUGGAGAUCAUCUCAGGCCUUGAAUGGUCAACGUCAUGGGAACAGGACUACCGGCGCAUCCAAGGUUCUCUGGGAUAGAGUACGACUCGAUCUA